GUCCAGCUGACGAGUCCCAAAUAGGAUGAAACACGCCUCCUAGAU
This 45-nucleotide non-coding RNA is filed under the name Schistosoma margrebowiei. The record is from RNAcentral. Lineage: Eukaryota; Metazoa; Platyhelminthes; Trematoda; Strigeidida; Schistosomatidae.